GCCGCACCAUCGGGCCCUUCGGCUACGGCGCCGGGACGCCCUUCAGCGUCCCCGUGCGCGGCGACGGCGGCGUCGUCGGCUUCUUCGUCCGCGCCGGCGCCUACCUGGAGGCCAUCGGCGUCUACGUCAACCCGUGCAUCCCCUCCGAGAAAUGAAUUGAAUUGAAUUUGAUCAACACCACCGAUAUGAUAUGAUCCAUCCAGUUACCACCCG
RNAcentral lists this unclassified non-coding RNA (213 nucleotides) under Hevea brasiliensis (rubber tree). The record is from RNAcentral. Lineage: Eukaryota; Viridiplantae; Streptophyta; Magnoliopsida; Malpighiales; Euphorbiaceae.